Long non-coding RNA from Brassica rapa (field mustard), 1538 nucleotides. RefSeq lists it as uncharacterized. The record is from RefSeq and is a predicted model, not a curated record. NCBI's taxonomy places the organism in Eukaryota, Viridiplantae, Streptophyta, Magnoliopsida, Brassicales, Brassicaceae.
UAUACUUUAGUCACAUUAGGCAAUUCCGUAAUCUUAUUUAAGGAAAUAAUGAAACACAUUUAAUAAUGUAUUUAUUGUGGUUUGAUAAAAACAUUAUUAUAUAUUUAAAUGGACCAACUUAUUUCUCUAAGGAUUCUAAGAAUCAUUCUAGUGAUGACAUGUGGCUACAAAAAAAUAUUGCAAUGCUUCUCAAAUAAUAUAUAGGGGAUUGCCAUUAAAUCAUCCACCCAAUGAAAAACUAAAGAAAAAUUUCGAGACCGACGCACAUAUUAAUUCCUGGAUCAUGUACACCACCGGAUCUUCUUUCGGUUUAAUAUAUCCCAUGAUAGAAACUCAAAUGGCUAAUCAGUAAUCACUAGACUAUAACUUACUAAAAUAUGUAUAUUUUAUAAGCAUGUACUAUACAUAUAAACGCCUAUGAUUAUAAAGUAAGGAAGUGAAACUUGGCUAGACAUUGAAGGAGUAGAGGAUGGUUUGUUCCAUGGUAGUGAUGUUAUUAGUGUGAAGACUAGAGAUACGAAGAUCCUCCAAAACAGCAAAAGUCUUACUCAGAUGGCGUCUCCUUACCACUCGAUUAUAAGGUCCCAGACAGAUCUCAAAUGCAUCCUUGUCAAGAACCUCUCAGACCUCAACAUACUUCAUCUCAAUAGUCAGAUUCUACGGCAAGAGUCGAGAUUCAAGGAAAGUAACAGUCAUUACACUUCUACAUGAAUGUGUUAUCAUGUUCGUUUGAACAUUAAUGCUCUUUUUGAACAUUAAUGCUUACAUUUUUCUAAGGAAUCAUGUUUGUUUUCAUAUCACUGCCUACGGAUUGCUUCGUUUAUCGCGACAACUUGCGAUUAAUUGUAAGUGGUACAAAAAUUUAAAUUUAACAAUAUAAGUUAAUGAUUUACGGUCGCGCGAUAGCAAAACAAAUCAAAAUUUACCAUUAGUUGCAGCAACAUGUUAAACCGGUCCCAUGUGAUUAGUAGUCACACAUGAGCUGGUUACUUAAUACAUAGAUCAGAGAUUGUCCAUCAAGGAAUGUAAUACAUCGGGUUUGGGACUUUAAAAGAACGGUCAGCCACGGCAAAGCCUAGAAGAUCACUCCACUGAUCACCGGUGUUGCCAUGGAUUUUAAAGCCUUGGUCGAUCAAUUUCGACCGCUGCUCCGAUUUGUAAUUCGUAGCUGACUUCCCUUGAUCAUCUGGACCUCUGCAAUUUACCCAACAAACUUACUUAUAUACCGGUUUAGAUGGUUAAAUGGGUUAAUACCGGUUUGGAUGUCCUCAUCGUAUCAAAGAACAGAGCAUUUUGGUAUGGACUUACCUCAAGAUAAGCCUUUCCCAACCAGAAUAACCAACAUCUCGUAGAUUUUUCUCCGUGACAUUCCUUUGGUCCUCGUCCCGACCAGUUAGCAGAACAAUAGUGAAACCAAGUUUCUUGAGAGCAUUGUACAUUCUCAAGCUCGCAGCAAAAGCUGGAGCUGUACCUUGUACCACCCACUCAUUGAAGCUUUUGGAGUCAAACGGUUCCGACCUAGAUACACUAGAGAAAAA